This 183-nucleotide ribosomal RNA is filed under the name uncultured bacterium. RNAcentral describes it as "partial 16S ribosomal RNA". It matches the Rfam family "Bacterial small subunit ribosomal RNA", at positions 1319 to 1500 of the family's 1533-position model. The record is from RNAcentral.
CAUGAAGCUGGAAUCGCUAGUAAUCGCAGAUCAGAAUGCUGCGGUGAAUACGUUCCCGGGUCUUGUACACACCGCCCGUCACACCAUGGGAGCCGGGAAUGCCCGAAGUCGGUGACCCAACCGUAAGGAGGGAGCCGCCGAAGGCAGGGCCUGGUAACUGGGGUGAAGUCGUAACAAGGUACC